UUUAAGUUCUCCCUUAGCCCUUCCACCCAGAACUAAACCAACCAAACUCCUAUGAAAGCGCUAAGAGUUAAUCAAAGGAGGUACAGCCCCUUUGACACAGGACACAACCUCCACCAGCGGAUAACACAUUACCACUACACCCGUGGGCCCUAAAGCAGCCACCCAAAAAGAGUGCGUCAAAGCUCCAAUACCCCAAAAAAUCCAAAGACAAUACGACUCCCUGCACCCCUAGCAAGCCAACCUAUGCCUAUAGAUGAACAAAUGCUAAAACGAGUAACCAGGACACUACACCCUCCCCUAAGCGCUAAUCUAUACACCAUUAACAGCACGACCACAAUAAACAACCCCCCACCCAGCCUACCAUUGGACUCACCCUGUUAACCCAACCCAGGAGCGCACAACUAGGAAGAUUAAAAUCUGCAAAAGGAACUCGGCAAAUCUAAGGCCCGACUGUUUACCAAAAACAUAGCCUUCAGCCCAACAAGUAUUGAAGGUGAUGCCUGCCCAGUGACCCUACGUUCAACGGCCGCGGUAUUCUAACCGUGCAAAGGUAGCGCAAUCAAUUGUCCCAUAAAUCGAGACCUGUAUGAAUGGCUAAACGAGGUCUUAACUGUCUCCUGCAGAUAAUCAGUGAAACUGAUCUCCCUGUGCAAAAGCAGGAAUAAGCACAUAAGACGAGAAGACCCUGUGGAACUUCAAAAUCAAUAGCCACCACACACCUUAACACCAAACCUACUAGGCCCACUCAACCCAAACCCCCUGGCUAAUAUUUUUAGGUUGGGGCGACCCUGGAGAAAAACAAAUCCUCCAAUAAGCACGGGCCAAAAUCCCUAACUAAGAGCAACCCCUCAACGUGCUAACAGCACAUAGACCCAAUAAAAUUGAUCAACGAACCAAGCUACCCCAGGGAUAACAGCGCAAUCUCCCCCAAGAGCCCCUAUCGACGAGGAGGUUUACGACCUCGAUGUUGGAUCAGGACAUCCUAGUGGUGCAACCGCUACUAAGGGUUCGUUUGUUCAACGAUUAACAGUCCUACGUGAUCUGAGUUCAAACCGGA
This 1057-nucleotide ribosomal RNA is filed under the name Neophema splendida. Its description in RNAcentral is "partial 16S ribosomal RNA". The stretch from base 294 to 1057 matches the Rfam family "Archaeal large subunit ribosomal RNA", at positions 1423 to 2689 of the family's 2987-position model. Lineage: Eukaryota; Metazoa; Chordata; Aves; Psittaciformes; Psittacidae. The record is from RNAcentral.